Varanus komodoensis (Komodo dragon) is the source of this 1082-nucleotide RNA transcript. It is a transcript of the gene named fatty acid-binding protein 5-like, with no coding region annotated. The transcript is spliced from 4 exons. Lineage: Eukaryota; Metazoa; Chordata; Lepidosauria; Squamata; Varanidae. The record is from RefSeq and is a predicted model, not a curated record.
AUAUUAUCAUCAGCAAGGAUGGUGACAAAUUCCUAGUGAAAACAGAAAGCACGUUCAAAAAGCAUGAAUUCUGCUUCAGAUUGGGAGAAACAUUUGAUGAAGAUACGAUAGAUGGACGAAAAACUAAAAUCCAAGAGCUACACAAGAGCUUUUUCUUUCCUGCUUUUCCAGGUGAAACUGUGUUAUAGUAGAAUAUUAGUCACACAGGUAGGAAAUACCUUUUCUUUCCUUUCAGAAAUUAUAGUCCAUUUUUCUGCUUUUAAAAAAAAACAGCAAAGAGCUCUUUAAAAAAACAAGUAAAAAUGGAGGAUCAUGACAUCUAAAGAACCUGUAAACAACUGUAAGUAAAGAAUCAUGCAUGCACAGUGAAUACCUCAUGUGGAGAAUCUCUGCGUUUUGUCCCUCCUUAGAGAAGUACUCGUUUUUCUCACAGUAUCUAUGUGCCUGCCACUGGUUUCCACUGACUGCACUGGCCUCCAGAGUCCUGCUGCCCUCCAGAAGUUUUCCUGCCAUUGGCUGUAAUGUCUAUGACUGAUAGGAGCUGCUGUUCAACACAGCUGGAGGGCCAGGUUGGAGGAAUCUGGUUACACUCAAAUAAACCUACUCAUGAAUUCGCAUGGCUUUGGUUUUGCUCUGCCAGACUUGGUCAUACAUAGAGAUCCAUUGAACUCAUUGAAACUUGACUUUAAGUGCUUUUAAUUCAGAGAGUCAAGUGUAGGUAUGGCCAAGUCAAGAUGACUUUCUUUUAUUCAUGCAAUGCUGCAAUUUUAUUUUAGGUAUUUCUACCUCUCCUUCCCAGGGCAACGACUUUUAGGGUAUCAUAACAUACUUAACAUAUACGGCUACAAAGUAGCAAUUCAAGACAACCAGACUAACAGCACAAUCCUGUGCUUGCCUGCUUAGAAAUACGUCGCACUGAGUUCAAUUACAUCAGCAGAAGUGCCAGACCCUUAUCACUUUAGAUGAUGAUAAUGUACUGACCCAACACCAGCAAUGGAACGGCAAAGAGACCACAAUAACAAGAAAGAUAGUUGAUGGGAAAAUGAUUGUGGAAUGUGCUAUGAAUGGUGUCAAAUGUACCC